UUGCACGCUGGCGGCAGGCCUCACACAUGCAAGUCGAACGGUAACAGGAAGAAGCUUGCUUCUUUGCUGACGAGUGGCGGACGGGUGAGUAAUGUCUGGGAAACUGCCUGAUGGAGGGGGAUAACUACUGGAAACGGUAGCUAAUACCGCAUAAUGUCGCAAGACCAAAGAGGGGGACCUUCGGGCCUCUUGCCAUCGGAUGUGCCCAGAUGGGAUUAGCUAGUAGGUGGGGUAACGGCUCACCUAGGCGACGAUCCCUAGCUGGUCUGAGAGGACGACCAGCCACACUGGAACUGAGACACGGUCCAGACUCCUACGGGAGGCAGCAGUGGGGAAUAUUGCACAAUGGGCGCAAGCCUGAUGCAGCUAUGCCGCGUGUAUGAAGAAGGCCUUCGGGUUGUAAAGUACUUUCAGCGGGGAGGAAGGGAGUAAAGUUAAUACCUUUGCUCAUUGACGCUACCCGCAGAAGAAGCACCGGCUAACUCCGUG
RNAcentral lists this ribosomal RNA (489 nucleotides) under uncultured bacterium. RNAcentral describes it as "partial 16S ribosomal RNA". It matches the Rfam family "Bacterial small subunit ribosomal RNA", at positions 30 to 507 of the family's 1533-position model. The record is from RNAcentral.